GAGCGGCGAACGGGUGAGUAACACGUGAGUAACCUGCCCCUGACUCUGGGAUAAGCCUGGGAAACUGGGUCUAAUACCGGAUAUGACANUUNCCNGCAUGGANGGGAUGUGGAAAGUUUUUUCGGUUGGGGAUGGGCUCGCGGCCUAUCAGCUUGUUGGUGGGGUAGUGGCCUACCAAGGCGACGACGGGUAGCCGGCCUGAGAGGGCGACCGGCCACACUGGGACUGAGACACGGCCCAGACUCCUACGGGAGGCAGCAGUGGGGAAUAUUGCGCAAUGGGCGGAAGCCUGACGCAGCGACGCCGCGUGGGGGAUGACGGCCUUCGGGUUGUAAACCUCUUUCAGCAGGGACGAAGUUGACGUGUACCUGUAGAAGAAGCGCCGGCUAACUACGUGCCAGCAGCCGCGGUAAUACGUAGGGCGCAAGCGUUGUCCGGAAUUAUUGGGCGUAAAGAGCUCGUAGGUGGCUUGUUGCGUCUGCCGUGAAAGCCCGUGGCUUAACUGCGGGUCUGCGGUGGAUACGGGCAGGCUAGAGGCUGGUAGGGGCAAGCGGAAUUCCU
This 561-nucleotide ribosomal RNA is filed under the name Planotetraspora sp. 331A09. Its description in RNAcentral is "bacterial SSU rRNA". It matches the Rfam family "Bacterial small subunit ribosomal RNA", at positions 93 to 671 of the family's 1533-position model. Lineage: Bacteria; Bacillati; Actinomycetota; Actinomycetes; Streptosporangiales; Streptosporangiaceae. The record is from RNAcentral.